This 708-nucleotide ribosomal RNA is filed under the name uncultured bacterium. RNAcentral describes it as "bacterial SSU rRNA". It matches the Rfam family "Bacterial small subunit ribosomal RNA", at positions 513 to 1228 of the family's 1533-position model. The record is from RNAcentral.
AGCCGCGGUAAUACGGAGGAUCCAAGCGUUAUCCGGAAUCAUUGGGUUUGAAGGGUCCGUAGGCGGUUUAAUAAGUCAGUGGUGAAAGCCCAUCGCUCAACGGUGGAACGGCCAUUGAUACUGUUAAACUUGAAUUAUUAGGAAGUAACUAGAAUAUGUAGUGUAGCGGUGAAAUGCUUAGAGAUUACAUGGAAUACCAAUUGCGAAGGCAGGUUACUACUAAUGGAUUGACGCUGAUGGACGAAAGCGUGGGUAGCGAACAGGAUUAGAUACCCUGGUAGUCCACGCCGUAAACGAUGGAUACUAGCUGUUGGGAGCAAUCUCAGUGGCUAAGCGAAAGUGAUAAGUAUCCCACCUGGGGAGUACGUUCGCAAGAAUGAAACUCAAAGGAAUUGACGGGGGCCCGCACAAGCGGUGGAGCAUGUGGUUUAAUUCGAUGAUACGCGAGGAACCUUACCAAGGCUUAAAUGUAGUUUGACCGAUUUGGAAACAGAUCUUUCGCAAGACAAAUUACAAGGUGCUGCAUGGUUGUCGUCAGCUCGUGCCGUGAGGUGUCAGGUUAAGUCCUAUAACGAGCGCAACCCCUGUUGUUAGUUGCCAGCGAGUCAUGUCGGGAACUCUAACAAGACUGCCAGUGUAAACUGUGAGGAAGGUGGGGAUGACGUCAAAUCAUCACGGCCCUUACGCCUUGGGCUACACACGUGCUAC